Molecule: ribosomal RNA, 116 nt
Filed under: Pteropus alecto (black flying fox)
Lineage: Eukaryota; Metazoa; Chordata; Mammalia; Chiroptera; Pteropodidae
Source: RNAcentral
GUCUAUGGCCAUGCCACCCUGAACAAGCCCGAUGUCUGAUCUCGGAAGCUAAGCAAGGUCGGGCCUGGUUAGUACUUGGAUGGGAGACCACCUAGGAAGACCAGGUGGUGUAGGCA